RNAcentral lists this ribosomal RNA (324 nucleotides) under Salmonella enterica subsp. enterica serovar Infantis. RNAcentral's name for it is "partial 23S ribosomal RNA". RNAcentral also lists the same sequence under 1 other name. Lineage: Bacteria; Pseudomonadati; Pseudomonadota; Gammaproteobacteria; Enterobacterales; Enterobacteriaceae. The record is from RNAcentral.
GGGUUUAGAACGUCGUGAGACAGUUCGGUCCCUAUCUGCCGUGGGCGCUGGAGAACUGAGGGGGGCUGCUCCUAGUACGAGAGGACCGGAGUGGACGCAUCACUGGUGUUCGGGUUGUCAUGCCAAUGGCACUGCCCGGUAGCUAAAUGCGGAAGAGAUAAGUGCUGAAAGCAUCUAAGCACGAAACUUGCCCCGAGAUGAGUUCUCCCUGAGACUUARAGUCUCCUGAAGGAACGUUGAAGACGACGACGUUGAUAGGCCGGGUGUGUAAGCGCAGCGAUGCGUUGAGCUAACCGGUACUAAUGAACCGUGAGGCUUAACCUU